RNAcentral lists this ribosomal RNA (544 nucleotides) under uncultured bacterium. Its description in RNAcentral is "bacterial SSU rRNA". It matches the Rfam family "Bacterial small subunit ribosomal RNA", at positions 777 to 1320 of the family's 1533-position model. The record is from RNAcentral.
AAUAGAUACCCAGGUAGUCCACGCCGUAAACGAUGAGUGCUAAGUGUUAGGGGGUUUCCGCCCCUUAGUGCUGCAGCUAACGCAUUAAGCACUCCGCCUGGGGAGUACGGUCGCAAGACUGAAACUCAAAGGAAUUGACGGGGGCCCGCACAAGCGGUGGAGCAUGUGGUUUAAUUCGAAGCAACGCGAAGAACCUUACCAGGUCUUGACAUCCCAUUGACCACUAUGGAGACAUAGUUUUCCCUUCGGGGACAACGGUGACAGGUGGUGCAUGGUUGUCGUCAGCUCGUGUCGUGAGAUGUUGGGUUAAGUCCCGCAACGAGCGCAACCCUUGUUCUUAGUUGCCAUCAUUUAGUUGGGCACUCUAAGGAGGCUGCCGGUGACAAACCGGAGGAAGGUGGGGAUGACGUCAAAUCAUCAUGCCCCUUAUGACCUGGGCUACACACGUGCUACAAUGGACGGUACAAACGGUUGCCAACCCGCGAGGGGAGCUAAUCCGAUAAAACCGUUCUCAGUUCGGAUUGUAGGCUGCAACUCGCCUACA